RNAcentral lists this ribosomal RNA (3182 nucleotides) under Fasciola hepatica (liver fluke). RNAcentral's name for it is "eukaryotic LSU rRNA". The stretch from base 1846 to 3182 matches the Rfam family "Eukaryotic large subunit ribosomal RNA", at positions 1890 to 3347 of the family's 3401-position model. The record is from RNAcentral. Lineage: Eukaryota; Metazoa; Platyhelminthes; Trematoda; Plagiorchiida; Fasciolidae.
UCUACGGUGCCACAUAAAGUUCUCAUCUCGGUUCAUACAGACUGCAUACCUACGGCCACUAUCUCCGUGGAAGCUUCCAAAGCUUUUGAUCCGGUUUAUCACGACAUGGUCACACUAGCUGCAUCAAUGUUCGGCCUUCUAUCUCCUGUGGUGGACUACCUCCGGUCGCUCUGUAAUGGCUCUGUGGUCCGACUCGGUGACGAAUCAAUCUCUUGUUUCCAUGAUGUACGGCAAGGUGACCCUUUUGCUCUUCGCUGGUCACUGCGGUCAUGGGCAAGGUGCUUCUCAACUCUGCACCCGCUCUGGGUGUUACUGUUGGUGGUGCGCCUAUUGACCAUUUAGCCUGCGUGGAAGACUUGGUGCUACUUGCGGGAAAUGCUGAUCGUCUCCGGGGGUGCCCUGGGGCCCUCUGGAAGUCGUUGGCUGUGGCUGACGUGCUUCAAUGGUAACAAAUCAAUCGAGCUUGCGAUGAGGAAGGAUGGGAAGGAAAAACGUGAGAUCCUUCGGCCUACCGCCCAAGAGGUCUGCGAGGCCCGGGUACAACCACUGGCAGUUGCUCCGCAAGUCAAGUACUUGGGUCUAUCGUUUACUAGGAAAGGACGCCCACAACCACGGUCAAGGGGGAAGCUUGAAUUGGUGCUGCUCUUCACCACCAAGGCACCUCUGAAGCAGCAACAAAGCUUGGAAGUCAUGUCUCGAGUCGCACUUCCCAAAGCCAAAUCAUGAAUUCGUUCUUGGUAUGGCUCAUCGGCGAACACUCAAGUUUAUGGACGUUAUAGUGCACGCGCUGGUCCGUGCUUGACUUCCAGUUUGCAGGGAUAAGAUGUUCGGCCUCUAUGCCAAACGAGCUUCAGGAGGCCGGACCUGCCCAACCUAUCCACCAAAGCACCCCUGGCCCAGAGAGCGCGGUUGGAACGCUUGGCAAGAUCAUCCUCGAUGCCGGCAGUAUGGCUCCCUCAGCUUUUGUGUCUCAUCAAUUGGUUCGGAAGGCCAAAACACAGGUCCAAGCGGGGUCAUCUGCGGCAAAUUCGAAAAGUGACGUCUUCUCAGCUUGGUCCGCCCAUCCUCUCAGUUUGUCUGUAGGUAGUGGUCUCCGGAACUUCCUGACGGAUCCUGCUAGUCUUCUCUGGUUAGGAGCUGAUGACUUGGCCCCUCCAAGACUGCUCCUGCAAGCGACUUGGCUAGGAGAAGGGGUGCUCUCAACUAAAGUACAUCGGGCGCGAGGAUAAGUAGUCCAUACCGAGGACGUAAUGUGUCGGGGUGGAUGCGGUGCUGUCGGGUCUGCUGAUCAAGUUCUCCAACACUGCGCUUCGGCCCACUAAUUGCAUUGGCAAACGGCGUAACAAAGUGGUCCGUUGGUUGACUUGUUCUUUCAAGGAGAGACCUUCCUGUCUUGGUCUAGCCUAAUGUCCCCCUGGCGCAAAGGUUUUGCAAACCGGACCUUAUUUUGUACAACGGUGACCUCGUACAUUUCCUUGACAUGUGUUCAGUAUCCGGUUAAUCUGCUGGAUCUGCCUGGAGAACUAAAAUUGAGAAAUAAUCUGCUACCUUGGUAGGGGAUUCCAUCAAGCUUACGUUGGGCCAAACUACUGUUACGCUCACACACUGCCCGGUCGUUAUCUCCAACCACCGCCUCCUUCUCAAGCUAUCGGAUUCCGUUUUGCGUCACCUUGGUCUUCGUCCAUUCAACUUGGCUCGUGCUUGUGAACUGUUGCCCAAGGCUCGCUGAAGAUCUACGACGUCUAUAUGAACGGUCUCAAAGAAUGGCCAGACUGAAGUAUUGGACAAUGGAUCGGCUUCACUUAUGACUUCCUGUACGUAAACAUGCCAGGAGGUACACAGCCUAUGCAAAGGAGGCUUGGGACGCGUGUACAGUCCUCUCCAGUCAGAUGCUGAGUGCUCUCAAAAAACAGUCUUGCCUGAUUCCCCCUCCCCCCAUUUUUCUUACUUGAAUUUUUUUCUACCCCCUAUUGUUGUGUGUUCUAACUGGACAGCACAUAAUAUCAUAGCCAAAAGCCCCAUCAUUUAUUAUUGACUCGCAUGAAUGGAUUAAAAAAAUUCCCCCUGUCCCCAUCUACUAUGUGGCGAAACCACAGCCAAGGGAACGAGCUUGGCCAAAUUAGUAGAAGAAGAAGUCCCUUUGAAGAUUGACUCUGGUCCGACUUCGUGGAGGGACAUGAAAGGGGUGUAAUAGGUAAGAGGCCGGUCCUUCAGGUCUCGCAGACGGUGAAAUAGCACCACGGCCACUGUUUUUUGCAUUUUCAGUAAAACAAGAAAUUGCUUUUGGUUUUAAUCACGUACUAGUGCAGUGGCGCACGCCGCGGGGGUUGGUAUCUUAGUCAUCUCAGAGCAGUCGUGGUCUCAGUCGCGGCCUUUGAGUCUGUUUUGAUGUGCAACCCGUUCUGAAGACAGUGUCAAGCGGAAAGUUUGACCGGGGAGGUACAUCUGUCAAAUGGUGACGCAGGUGUUCCAUGGUGAGCUCGGCCGGGACGGAAGCCUGGCUUGGAGUAAAAGGGCAAAAGCUCACUUGAUUUUGACUUGCAAUACGAAUACAGACCUUGAAAGCUUGAACUAUCGUUCCUUUUUAAUCCGAUAUUCAGAGUAUGAUGCAAGGGGUGUCAGAAACGUCACCACAGGGAUAGCUGGCUUGUAGCGGCCAAGCUUUCACGGCAAAGCCUCUUUUUGCCACUUCGAUGUCGGCUCGCCCUAGCUUUGUGAAACAGAAUUCAUCAAGCUUUGGAUUGUUCACUCGAUAAUUGGGAACGUGAGCUAGGGUUGGACUUUCAAGAGACAGGUUAGUUUUACCCAACUAAUGAGUACUUUGAAACAGUGAAGCGAAAGGUGGACUUCUCUAUGGUAAUCCUGUCUGGCGCGAGAGAAGCCGCAGGUUCAGAUGUUUGGUAUAUGUGCCUGGUUGAAAGGCCAGUGGUGCGAAGCUGUCAUCUGAGGGACUGGAACGGAAGGCCUCCAAGUCCGAAUCCCGCCCAGAUAUGCAAAGGUAUGUUCAGCGCCUGACACUAGGCUAGGCUAGUAUACGUAUUCCUUUUGGUGCUUGACCCAUGCUAUGUGCCUGGCUGGGCCAGGUAGGUCUGUUUUAAUGCCGGAUCGAUAGGACCACAACUGUACCCUGGACUUCAGAGUGUAAAAGUCGACGCUAUACCCAAAAGUGGUUUGAGGGUGAA